AAACAAGACCAUACGGGUUGCCGGGUUGGGUUAAGGGUUUCGGUCACUUGCUUCCUUCUAAGUUCUAAGCCACAACAAUCUCACACCUUAUUCCUUCUAUCAAUCGAACUACCAAACCUUAUCAUAAAUCUCAAUCGAAGUCCUAGUUCGUGGCCGUUUUUCUCUCGACUUGAUGUUUUGAUUGGAUCUGGUCUAAAGAAGCCCUCGCCUUCGCCGCCUUUGGCGGUUGCAACUACACCCUCUUCUCCUUCUCCACCUUCUCCUUCCGGUUCCAUGCCCUCGCCGCCGAUGUCUAGGUCUCCACCUUCACCUCCGGGGACGUCGAGAACUUCGCCGCCACCCCCUACGGCUUCUUCAUCUCCUCCGUCGGAAUCGUCAUCUGGACAAUCUGUAUCAACUGGACUGGUGGUUGGAAUCGCAAUUGGUGGUGUUUUAGUCCUUGCUCUUUUAAGUAUUAUAUUUAUUUGCUGUAAAAAGAAGAAAAGAAGAGACCAUGGGCCAGCUAAUUACUACAUUCCGUCACCAUCUGGA
RNAcentral lists this long non-coding RNA (531 nucleotides) under Panax ginseng (ginseng). RNAcentral's name for it is "long non-coding RNA (PGIN_LNC001354)". Lineage: Eukaryota; Viridiplantae; Streptophyta; Magnoliopsida; Apiales; Araliaceae. The record is from RNAcentral.